CCGUUAGGGACUGCAGCUGGAUCAUUUUCUGAUAUCCAUUAUACAAAAAAGAGCAUAUUUAUGUGCAUGUAUAAAUUGCACAGUAUGCAACCAAAAAUAUACAUAUAUGUUUUACAUGUAUGUGUUUCUAUAUGCCGUUUGACAUGGGAGAUGAGGGAUGCUAUACAUAGUUCUGUUAUUUUCUAUCAUGUAUGUGUGUUAGAGUGUCUGUGUUAAUAUACUUUUUAAUGCAUGCUCUACAUAAUAUACAGUAGUAAUAACACAGAGAAUACGUAUGGAAUGCGUAUCUCUCUAUAUAUAUUUAUGUAUAUAUGCUAUGUGUAUAUCAACCUCGCAUAUUUUCUCCCCGUGGACCCCAGCUCCCCCACCGCGUCUCGAUGGAUGACUUGUGUUCCUAUUUCUCUGAAAAAAACACCACAGAGCGAUAAGUGGGAUCUCUUGUGCAAACAUUUCUUUGUGCCCUCUUUGAACACAAACAGCGCAUGGGAGAAAAUCUCUCUAGCCAUCCCCCCGCGUGCGACAUUUCUCACAGUGUAAUAUAUAAACACAACACACACCUAUAUUGUGUUUUUCACAGCACACAAAAAAUCCCCCCCCCCCUUCUCCUCUCGUGGGGCAUAUACAUGUGUGUGAGAGUGCGCAUAUACGAUAUCUCUCUCCUCUCUCUACUCUCACAAUGUUGUGUGUGACACAUAUACGCGUGUGUAGUGAGUGAGAUAUAAAAGAAAUGUGAAAAGCGCAUAUGUAUAUGUGUAUACACAAUAUAUAUGUGUGUGUAGAUGUGUGUGUGCACAUAUAAAGAGAAAAGUGUGUGUGUAUACACAGAGACUGUGUCGCUGUGACACGUGUAUAUAUAUAUAUAUGUAUAUGUGUGUGUCCGCUGUGAGAUUUAUAUCUUACAGAGAGUGUUCAUAUAUAUAUGUUGUACGCAUGUAUUUUGCGCCCCGUAUAGAGAUAAAAAGAGAGAAACAGUAUGCAAAGACGCGCAGAUAGUGUGUAUGUUGUUAUCACAGCAAGCAACUAUAUUGCUGCCUGUAUAUAUGCAUAUAUGUACAUAUUGCUUGUCUCUCCGUUACGCUUCACUUUUAAUGUAUUUCAGACCUGAGUGGCAGACAUCGCUACUAGCAUUAUCGGAAAAAAACACAAGAGAGCU
This 1153-nucleotide unclassified non-coding RNA is filed under the name Trypanosoma evansi. Its description in RNAcentral is "partial ITS region". The record is from RNAcentral. Lineage: Eukaryota; Euglenozoa; Kinetoplastea; Trypanosomatida; Trypanosomatidae.